RNAcentral lists this ribosomal RNA (406 nucleotides) under uncultured bacterium. RNAcentral describes it as "partial 16S ribosomal RNA". It matches the Rfam family "Bacterial small subunit ribosomal RNA", at positions 29 to 526 of the family's 1533-position model. The record is from RNAcentral.
AUUGAACGCUGGCGGCAGGCCUAACACAUGCAAGUCGAGCGAGCGGCGGACGGGUGAGUAAUGUCUGGGAAACUGCCUGAUGGAGGGGGGUAACUACUGGAAACGGUAGCUAAUACCGCAUACCAUCAGAUGUGCCCAGAUGGGAUUAGCUAGUAGGUUGGGUAAUGGCUCACCUAGGCGACGGUACCUCGCUGUUCUGAGAGUAUGACCCGCCACACUGGAACGGGGACAGGGUCCGGACUACGACGAGAGGUAGCAGUGGGGAAUAGUGCGCAAUGGGCGCAAGCCUGAUGCAGCCAGGCUGGGUGAGUGAAGAAGGCCGUCGGGUUGUAAAGCACAUGCAGCGGGGAGGCGUUACCCGAAGAAGAAGCACCGGCUAACUCCGUGCCAGCAGCCGCGGUAAUAC